Non-coding RNA from Danio rerio (zebrafish), 1282 nucleotides. The record is from Ensembl. NCBI's taxonomy places the organism in Eukaryota, Metazoa, Chordata, Actinopteri, Cypriniformes, Danionidae.
GUGGACACAACUUCUGUAAGAGCUGCCUGAACCAGUGCUGGAACAACAGUCAGACCUACAACUGUCCAUUCUGUAAAGAAACAUUCAAUAAAAAGCCAGAGCUCAAGAUCAACACAACACUCAGACAGCUUGUGCAAGUCUUCAAGCAAAACGUUCCUGAGAAAACAUCUGAAGUUCUCUGUGACAUUUGUGAUGGUGUUAAGAAGAAAGCCCUGAAGAUCUGUCUGCUGUGUCAAAAUGCUUACUGUCAAACUCACCUGGAUCUUCAUCAGAAAGUUACAAAUUUAAAACACAAAUUAAUUGAUCCUGUGUUGAAUCUUGAGAACUAUAUAUGUCAGAAACAUGAGAAACCUCUGGAGCUGUUCUGUAAAGAUGAUCAGACAUGUGUGUGUUUGCUCUGCGCUGUGACAAAUCACAGGAAUCACAACACUGUUGCUGUAGAAGAGGAGAGUGGUGUAAGAAGGUCUCAGAUGAUGGAGAUGCAUGCAGAUAUGAAGCAGAUGAUCCACGACAGAAUGAAGAAAAUUCAAGACAUCAAACACUCAGCACUCUUGAAAAAAGAAACAUCAGAGAAAGAGAAGGCUGAGAGCACUGAGCUCUUUGCUGAUCUAAUGAGCUGCAUUGAGAGAUGUCAGUCUGAGCUGCUGGAGAUGAUGGAGCAGAAGCAGAAAGCAGCAGAGAAGCAGGCUGAAGAGCUGAUUAAAGAUCUGGAGCAGGAGAUCACUGAGCUGAAGAGGAGAGACGCUGAGCUGGAGCAGAUCUCACACACUGAGGAUCACCUGCACCUCCUACAGAUUUAACCAGAGCUGAGCAAACCUCCACACACCAGCAGCUAGACUCAAAUCAGUAUCAGUGACACUCAGCUGAGUGUAGAUACUCUGAGGAAAACUCUCCUUCAGCUACACGACACUUUGGAUUACAAACUCAGCACAAGUGUGCUGAAAAAGAUGCAGCAACAUUUGGUGGAUGUGACUCUGGAUCCUGAUACAGCUCAUCCAGAUCUUAUCAUCUCCGAUAAUGAAAAACAAGUGACAGAUGGAGAUAUUGAGCUUGAACUCUUAGACAACCCUGGGAGAUUUGACACUUGCCCAUGUGUCCUGGCAAAAGAGGGGUUCAACUCAGGGAUAUUUUAUUUUGAAGUGCAGGUAAAAGAAAAGACUGAUUGGAAUUUAGGAGUGGUCAGAGAAUCCAUUAAGCGGAAGGGAGAUAUUACAGCUGCACCUGAGGAAGGAUACUGGAUUAUAGUUUUGGGGAAUGGGAAUCAGUAUCUUGCAAUUGAUUC